GGUGAGUAACACGUGGGAAACCUGCCCAGAUUCGGGGGAUAACACCUGGAAACAGAUGCUAAUACCGCAUAACAACUUGGACCGCAUGGUCCGAGUUUGAAAGAUGGCUUCGGCUAUCACUUUUGGAUGGUCCCGCGGCGUAUUAGCUAGAUGGUGGGGUAACGGCUCACCAUGGCAAUGAUACGUAGCCGACCUGAGAGGGUAAUCGGCCACAUUGGGACUGAGACACGGCCCAAACUCCUACGGGAGGCAGCAGUAGGGAAUCUUCCACAAUGGACGAAAGUCUGAUGGAGCAACGCCGCGUGAGUGAAGAAGGGUUUCGGCUCGUAAAACUCUGUUGUUAAAGAAGAAUAUAUCUGAGAGUAACUGUUCAGGUAUUGACGGUAUUUAACCAGAAAGCCACGGCUAACUACGUGCCAGCAGCCGCGGUAAUACGUAGGUGGCAAGCGCUGUCCGGAUUUAUUGGGCGUAAAGCGAGCGCAGGCGGUUUUUUAAGUCUGAUGUGAAAGCCUUCGGCUCAACCGAAGAAGUGCAUCGGAAACUGGGAAACUUGAGUGCAGAAGAGGACAGUGGAACUCCAUGUGUAGCGGUGAAAUGCGUAGAUAUAUGGAAGAACACCAGUGGCGAAGGCGGCUGUCUGGUCUGUAACUGACGCUGAGGCUCGAAAGUAUGGGUAGCAAACAGGAUUAGAUACCCUGGUAGUCCAUACCGUAAAC
RNAcentral lists this ribosomal RNA (716 nucleotides) under uncultured bacterium. Its description in RNAcentral is "bacterial SSU rRNA". It matches the Rfam family "Bacterial small subunit ribosomal RNA", at positions 105 to 807 of the family's 1533-position model. The record is from RNAcentral.